GUUUCAUAGUCAGAAAAAUAAGAUGUUAUCCAGCAUUAUUUCUUCUGAAAGACAUGAGUGGUUAGUAAGUUUAGAGAAUCUUUUCAGAGAAGUAGAAAUAAUCAGACUUCAUUUUUUAUCUUCAAAUGAUCAGAAAAGUUGUGCUCACUUUCUUUGUGUUCAACAGGAUGAGGAUUCGGAGUACACUUUAGGCACAGCCGUUGAAAUCGGUCAUUUCUUCAGGGAAAGAAUCGUUCCGAGAGCAGUUUUGUAUUACACUGGAGAAGCCCUGGAGGAUGAUGAAAGUACCGGGGAUCCUCAGCCUGCAGAGUGCAAACAACAGUAGUUUGGAUCACUCACUCCUGCCACUGUCAAACCCCAUCAGCUCACCUAGAAUCAGCCCUGUAGUGCGGCGUACAUUCUCUGAUGAGCACACCAUCCAACAAAACAAAACAUGAUGAUGCAAUACAUUGGUAAACUAGUUUUUUAACCUACAAAAUUUGCUCACUUUAAAAUCCAGUUGCUAUACUACAACACUAUUGAUAAAUUGGGCAAUUCCAGAUUACAAUUCCCGGCUUCAGAAUGUAGAUAUAUACAUAAAUAAAUGUAAAACUAUUUUUUAAUUCAUCAUUUAGACAUGUACAGACAUAAUGACUUGAGAUAUGUCAUUGCAUAGCCAAAAAAAAACAAAAAAACUUGUAUUCUGACUUCCUGUGCACAUCUAACCUUUGUCAAGGUUGUUUGUAUUUAACAAAUAGUUUCUCUUCUCAUUUCUGAAGUGUUCCGUGUCAUGGGCAUAACCAUUUUUUAUGCAGUAUAUCUAUUUAUGUACUUUUUGAACAAAACUGUUUAUGUUCAUGCACUUAUUUAUGGAAUGUGCUAGCUAGCUAGCCAGUCCAACUAAUGUAUCUGCGAUAUCUUGCAGGCAUCAAUUAAUUGUGUUUAAUCAUAUCCGGCCUCUUUGCAAUAUAAAUAUCUAACAUUUCCAUCUUCAUUCGACUUUCUCUUUGAAGGUCAUAAUAAAAAAAAACUCUGCACUCCUCUACAUGAGUAUGCUCAGUCGAUGUAGUCUCAUUUUUUAUAUAUAUAUAUAUAUAUAUAUAUAUAAAUGUAUUUCAGUAUACGUUAUAUCCAUAAUGCUGGAAUUGCUCAAUUUAGAUAGUAUUCAAAGAUGAUAGGGCAAGUCCACUGCCAAUGGUCACUGAAUUCUGAGUGAACUGCAGGUGAUUACAUGUCCUUCGAGAUACAACAUCGCAUCCCAAAGUUGACUGAAUUCAUUUAUUUUGUGACUUAAUCUCAUAGAUUACUCAGGGUUUUUUAUGCCAAGAUGACAGUGUGCAAGUAUCCAGCAUUGUGAAACUGUUGAUAUCUAACCUGCUUCAUGUUCUCUUUUGUCUUGUAAAAGAAGGAAGACUUUUGAAAUGUGGCUUUUAGUUAUAACAGAGUUAUUUAUAUACAGUGGGUACGGAAAGUAUUCAGACCCCCUUAAACUGUAUAUUUUCCAUCUUUAUAUUAUUGUUUUGAACUCUGUCUUGGUCUUGUGCUUCUUGGUGGAUCCCUGAGAGAAUAUGUUUUGCUAAUGUAUGUAUUGUACCCAGUUGAUUAUAGCCCCUUUUAGCAUUUAAAAAUGCUUUUGCUGUACUGCCCAAGCACUUACAAAAAAAGUGUCUUUUAUUGCCAAAGAGAGUGAUCUGAUUUCACUUUACCACAACUUUUUCUGUGUCAAGAGUAUUUCAGGUCUGCAUUUCAUUUGAAAUAAUUAGAUAUUAAUGCUAAAGAAUGCAUGUUAUGGUGAAGGAAUAUUUCAAGUUCAAUACGAGUUGAGCUCAAUCAACAGCAUUUGUAAUGAAUUACUACAAAAGAUCAUUCAGAUUCAUUCCUUGUUUUCUUUAAAACUAAAAAGCAUUAUGAUGAAAUACUUGCAGUGGAAGUGAAUGGGGCCCAUUUUUGGAGGAUUUAAAAGCAGAAAUGUGAAACCUGUAAUUCUGUAAGUAUUUACGCUAUUCUGUUAAUGUGAAAGAUUCAUGCUUUUUAGAAUUGGUUGUUUUCCAGUCCACCUUUGUUUCUGGUUAGUGAAUGAAAGGAGGAAGUCAGUUGUGAGGAGAAAAGAAGUAACCCUUAGGCUGAAAGAAGUGAUGAAAAGUUCAAGACCAAAUGCCUAAGUUAGAAGAAUAACUGUUACAAUGUCUGACAAAUUUUGCUGCAUUUUACCAAUAAAUAUAACACCAAUUAUUUUUAAAUGAUUAAAAAUACUUUUUUACAAGUUAUAAAUUAUCCAUCUGUUGUGAUAGUUCUAUGCUAUUAUUGUGAUGGGUGGUAAUGACAUGGGCUUACAAAAAUCACCUUUUGUUUCAAAAAAUUC
This 2341-nucleotide long non-coding RNA is filed under the name Sinocyclocheilus anshuiensis. RNAcentral describes it as "lncRNA (ENSSANG00000018606.1)". The record is from RNAcentral. Lineage: Eukaryota; Metazoa; Chordata; Actinopteri; Cypriniformes; Cyprinidae.